AAAUUGAAGAGUUUGAUCAUGGCUCAGAUUGAACGCUGGCGGCAGGCCUAACACAUGCAAGUCGAACGGUAACAGGAAGCAGCUUGCUGCUUCGCUGACGAGUGGCGGACGGGUGAGUAAUGUCUGGGAAACUGCCUGAUGGAGGGGGAUAACUACUGGAAACGGUAGCUAAUACCGCAUAAUGUCGCAAGACCAAAGAGGGGGACCUUCGGGCCUCUUGCCA
RNAcentral lists this ribosomal RNA (223 nucleotides) under Escherichia coli. Its description in RNAcentral is "partial 16S ribosomal RNA". It matches the Rfam family "Bacterial small subunit ribosomal RNA", at positions 1 to 220 of the family's 1533-position model. Lineage: Bacteria; Pseudomonadati; Pseudomonadota; Gammaproteobacteria; Enterobacterales; Enterobacteriaceae. The record is from RNAcentral. RNAcentral also lists the same sequence under 1 other name.